GAUGAAGAACGUAGCGAAAUGCGAUAAGUAAUGUGAAUUGCAGAAUUCAGUGAAUCAUCGAAUCUUUGAACGCACCUUGCGCCCUUUGGCCAUUCCGAAGGGCAUGCCUGUUUGAGUAUCAUGAACACCUCAACUCUUCAUGGUUUUCCAUGAUGAGCUUGGACUUUGGGGGUCUUGCUGGCCUGUGGGUCGGCUCCUCUCAAAUGAAUCAGCUUGCCAGUUUUUGGUGGGCAUCACAGGUGUGAUAACUAUCUACGCUUGUGGUUUUCCACCAGGGUAACCUUCAGCAGUGGAGGUUCACUGGAGCUUACAAAUGUCUCUCCUCUGUGAGGACAGCCCUUUGAAUGUUUGAUCUCAAAUCAGGUAGGACUACCCGCUGAACUUAAGCAUAUCAAUAAGCGGAGG
Molecule: unclassified non-coding RNA, 405 nt
Filed under: soil metagenome
Description: partial contains 5.8S ribosomal RNA, internal transcribed spacer 2, and large subunit ribosomal RNA
Rfam family: 5.8S ribosomal RNA (bases 1-121)
Source: RNAcentral